This 393-nucleotide ribosomal RNA is filed under the name uncultured bacterium. RNAcentral's name for it is "partial 16S ribosomal RNA". It matches the Rfam family "Bacterial small subunit ribosomal RNA", at positions 523 to 918 of the family's 1533-position model. The record is from RNAcentral.
AUACGGAGGAUGCGAGCGUUAUCCGGAUUUAUUGGGUUUAAAGGGUGCGUAGGCUGUGCGUUAAGUCAGGGGUGAAAUGCCGUCGCUCAACGACGGAGCUGCCCUUGAUACUGGCGUGCUGGAGUACGGAUGCCGUUGGAGGAAUGAGUGGUGUAGCGGUGAAAUGCUUAGAUAUCACUCAGAACACCGAUUGCGAAGGCAUCUGACGAAUCCGUCACUGACGCUGAGGCACGAAAGCGUGGGGAUAGAACAGGAUUAGAUACCCUGGUAUUCCACGCCGUAAACGAUGAUGACUAACCGUCGGCGAUAGACAGCCGGUGGCCAAGCGAAAGCGAUAAGUCAUCCACCUGGGGAGUACGUCGGCAACGAUGAAACUUAAAGGAAUCGGCGGGG